UAGCUCAGUUGGUAGAGUGCUUGCCUCACAUGCAGAAGGCCCUGGGUUCAAUCCCCAG
Molecule: transfer RNA, 58 nt
Filed under: Marmota marmota marmota (Alpine marmot)
Lineage: Eukaryota; Metazoa; Chordata; Mammalia; Rodentia; Sciuridae
Also listed under: 2 other names
Rfam family: tRNA
About the family: Transfer RNA (tRNA) molecules are approximately 80 nucleotides in length. Their secondary structure includes four short double-helical elements and three loops (D, anti-codon, and T loops). Further hydrogen bonds mediate the characteristic L-shaped molecular structure. tRNAs have two regions of fundamental functional importance: the anti-codon, which is responsible for specific mRNA codon recognition, and the 3' end, to which the tRNAs corresponding amino acid is attached (by aminoacyl-tRNA synthetases). tRNAs cope with the degeneracy of the genetic code in two manners: having more than one tRNA (with a specific anti-codon) for a particular amino acid; and 'wobble' base-pairing, i.e. permitting non-standard base-pairing at the 3rd anti-codon position.
Source: Rfam by way of RNAcentral